RNAcentral lists this ribosomal RNA (508 nucleotides) under uncultured bacterium. RNAcentral describes it as "partial 16S ribosomal RNA". The stretch from base 20 to 332 matches the Rfam family "Bacterial small subunit ribosomal RNA", at positions 47 to 358 of the family's 1533-position model. The record is from RNAcentral.
GACGAACGCUGGCGGCGUGCUUAACACAUGCCAGUCGAACGGAAAGGCCCUGCUUUUGUGGGGUGCUCGAGUGGCGAACGGGUGAGUAACCCGUGAGUAACCUGCCCUUGACUUUGGGAUAACUUCAGGAAACUGGGGCUAAUACCGGAUAGGAGCUCCUGCUGCAUGGUGGGGGUUGGAAAGUUUCGGCGGUUGGGGAUGGACUCGCGGCUUAUCAGCUUGUUGGUGGGGUAGUGGCUUACCAAGGCUUUGACGGGUAGCCGGCCUGAGAGGGUGACCGGAGAGAGUGGGAGCGACAGCCGCCACAGAGCGCGAAGGGAGGAAGGAGGGGGAAAUAGGGGACAGGGGGAGGAGGCAUGAAGCAGAAGGCGGAGGGGUGGGGGAGCGGCUUAGGGUGUGUAAGCCGGGGGGGAAAGGAAGGAGGGGGAAUGGAAGGAAAUGGAAAAAGAAGAAGCGAAUAACUAGGAGCAAGCGGCAGGGGUAAGGGUCGAAACGAACACGUAAGAAC